RNAcentral lists this ribosomal RNA (301 nucleotides) under uncultured bacterium. RNAcentral describes it as "partial 16S ribosomal RNA". It matches the Rfam family "Bacterial small subunit ribosomal RNA", at positions 509 to 807 of the family's 1533-position model. The record is from RNAcentral.
CAGUCGCCGCGGGAAUACGAAGGGGGCUAGCGUUGUUCGGAAUCACUGGGCGUAAAGCGCACGUAGGCGGACACUUAAGUCAGAGGUGAAAUCCCAAGGCUCAACCUUGGAACUGCCUUUGAUACUGGGUGUCUUGAGUUCGGGAGAGGUGAGUGGAACUGCGAGUGUAGAGGUGAAAUUCGUAGAUAUUCGCAAGAACACCAGUGGCGAAGGCGACUCUCUGGUCUGUAACUGACGCUGAGGAGCGAAAGCGUGGGGAGCGAACAGGAUUAGAUACCCCUGUAGUCCCUGUCUCUUAUAC